AAGAACAGAGGCAAGCCUCCAGCCAGGAGCUCAUGAAAUCAUGAACUGAGGCCUCAGUGCAAUAGCUCAUGAGGAAAUGAAUUAUUUCAACAGCCAGUUAUGCUUCAAGCCAUACUUAAGAUCGAUGAAUCCUCCUUUAUAAACACAGAUGUAGUAAACACUCAGAGAAAACGAGGUUGAAAAACCAAAUGCUGGGGAGGAGCCAAGAUGGCCGAGUAGGAACAGCUCCGGUCUACAGCUCCCAGCGUGAGCGACGCAGAAGACGGGUGAUUUCUGCAUUUCCAUCUGAGGUACCGGGUUCAUCUCACUAGGGAGCGCCAGACAGUGGGCGCAGUUCUGGAAGUUGGAAGUACAAGAUCAGAUUGCCAGCAUCAUCAGGUACUCAUGAGGGCCGUCUUCCAGCUUGCAGACUGCCAACUUCUCAUUGUGUCC
RNAcentral lists this long non-coding RNA (432 nucleotides) under Homo sapiens (human). RNAcentral's name for it is "CRPPA antisense RNA 1". Lineage: Eukaryota; Metazoa; Chordata; Mammalia; Primates; Hominidae. The record is from RNAcentral.